RNAcentral lists this ribosomal RNA (253 nucleotides) under uncultured bacterium. RNAcentral describes it as "partial 16S ribosomal RNA". It matches the Rfam family "Bacterial small subunit ribosomal RNA", at positions 524 to 776 of the family's 1533-position model. The record is from RNAcentral.
UACGGGGGGAGCAAGCGUUGUUCGGAUUUACUGGGCGUAAAGGGCGCGUAGGCGGUGUAUUAAGUUAGAUGUGAAAUCCCUGGGCUUAACCUAGGAACUGCAUCUAAGACUGAUACGCUAGAGUGCGGUAGAGGAUAGUGGAAUUUCCGGUGCAGCGGUGAAAUGCGUAGAUAUCGGAAGGAACACCAGUGGCGAAGGCGGCUAUCUGGACUGACACUGACGCUGAGGCGCGAGAGCGUGGGGAGCAAACAGG